This 116-nucleotide ribosomal RNA is filed under the name Pectobacterium carotovorum. The record is from RNAcentral. RNAcentral also lists the same sequence under 38 other names. Lineage: Bacteria; Pseudomonadati; Pseudomonadota; Gammaproteobacteria; Enterobacterales; Pectobacteriaceae.
CCUGGCGGCGAUAGCGCGGUGGUCCCACCUGACCCCAUGCCGAACUCAGAAGUGAAACGCCGUAGCGCCGAUGGUAGUGUGGGGCUUCCCCAUGUGAGAGUAGGGAACUGCCAGGC